This 800-nucleotide ribosomal RNA is filed under the name uncultured bacterium. RNAcentral's name for it is "bacterial SSU rRNA". It matches the Rfam family "Bacterial small subunit ribosomal RNA", at positions 238 to 1037 of the family's 1533-position model. The record is from RNAcentral.
UUAUCAGUUUGUUGGUAGGGUAACGGCCUACCAAGGCAAUGACAAGUAGCGGGUGUGAGAGCAUGGCCCGCCUCACUGGGACUGAGACACUGCCCAGACUCCUACGGGAGGCUGCAGUUACGAAUCUUCCACAAUGGCCGAAAGGCUGAUGGAGCAAUGCCGCGUGUGUGAAGAAGCCCUUCGGGGUGUAAAAUACUUUUGUGAGGGACGAAUCAAUGACGGUACCUCACGAAUAAGGGGCUGCUAACCUCGUGCCAGCAGCAGCGGUAAUACGAGGGCCCCAAGCGUUGUCCGGAUUUAUUGGGCGUAAAGCGUCCGCAGGCGGUUUGAUGCAUCUUUUGUUAAAUUUUGAGGCUCAACCUCAAAACCGCGGAAGAUAUGGUCAAACUAGAGGUCGGAAGAGGUAAGCGGAAUUGCUGGUGUAGGGGUUAAAUCCGUUAAUAUCAGCAAGAACACCAAAUGCGAAGGCAGCUUACUAGUACGAACCUGACGCUCAGGGACGAAAGCGUGGGUAGCAAACGGGAUUAGAUACCCCGGUAGUCCACGCCGUAGACGUUGGAUACUAAGCAUUGGUAGUUUCGACCCUAUCAGUGUUGUUUAAAUAAACUAACGCCUUAAGUAUCCCGCCUGGGGAGUACGGUCGGCAGACUAAAACUCAAAGGAAUAGAACGGGACCCGCACAAAGCGGUGGAGCAUGGGGGUUUAAUUUGACGAAAAACCGAAUAACCUCACCCCGAACUUGACAUUCUAGUUGCGAAAUCUAAGGAAAAUUAGAUAAGCUUUUCAGGGGGCUAAGACAG